Molecule: ribosomal RNA, 423 nt
Filed under: Plantago asiatica
Lineage: Eukaryota; Viridiplantae; Streptophyta; Magnoliopsida; Lamiales; Plantaginaceae
Description: eukaryotic LSU rRNA
Rfam family: Eukaryotic large subunit ribosomal RNA (bases 283-423)
Source: RNAcentral
UGCAGAAUCCCGUGAACCAUCGAGUCUUUGAACGCAAGUUGCGCCCGAGCCUUCGGGCUGAGGGCACGCCUGCCUGGGCGUCACGCAUCGCGUCGCCCCCUACACCAAUUUGGUGAGGGGGCGGAUAAUGGCAUCCCGUUAGCUCGGUUUGCCCAAAAAGGAUCCCUCAUCGAUGGAUGUCACAACCAGUGGUGGUUGAAAGAUCAUUGGUGCCGUUGUGCUUCACUCCGUCGCAUGCUUGGGCAUCGUUACAAAACAAUGGUGCUAACGCGCCUUCGACCGCGACCCCAGGUCAGACGGGACUACCCGCUGAGUUUAAGCAUAUCAAUAAGCGGUGGAGAAGAAACUUACAAGGAUUCCCCUAGUAACGGCGAGCGAACCGGGAAUAGCCCAACUUGAGAAUCGGGCGGCCACGCCGUCCGA